Molecule: ribosomal RNA, 468 nt
Filed under: uncultured bacterium
Lineage: Bacteria
Description: partial 16S ribosomal RNA
Rfam family: Bacterial small subunit ribosomal RNA
Source: RNAcentral
GACGAACGCUGGCGGCGUGCUUAACACAUGCAAGUCGAACGGAAAGGCCCUGCUUUUGUGGGGUGCUCGAGUGGCGAACGGGUGAGUAACACGUGAGUAACCUGCCCUUGACUUUGGGAUAACUUCAGGAAACUGGGGCUAAUACCGGAUAGGAGCUCCUGCUGCAUGGUGGGGGUUGGAAAGUUUCGGCGGUUGGGGAUGGACUCGCGGGUUAUCAGCUUGUUGGUGGGGUAGUGGCUUACCAAGGCUUUGACGGGUAGCCGGCCUGAGAGGGUGACCGGCCACAUUGGGACUGAGAUACGGCCCAGAAUCCUACGGGAGGCAGCAGUGGGGAAUAUUGCACAAUGGGCGGAAGCCUGAUGCAGCAACGCCGCGUGCGGGAUGACGGCCUUCGGGUUGUAAACCGCUUUCGCCUGUGACGAAGCGUGAGUGACGGUAAUGGGUAAAGAAGCACCGGCUAACUACGUG